Molecule: long non-coding RNA, 763 nt
Filed under: Androctonus crassicauda
Lineage: Eukaryota; Metazoa; Arthropoda; Arachnida; Scorpiones; Buthidae
Source: RNAcentral
UUCGAAAAAAAAAAAAAAAAAUGCAUAAAAUCGGACCGUACGAUGUUUUUGCUUUUGCAUACGUUUAUCUUAAUUAUAAUUUUACACAUAUGCCAUAACAGAGAUCAAUAAAUGUAGGAUCUUGUGCAAAACAAGUAUUGUUUUCAUUGAUUCGGUUUCAGUCGCUAACAAGUAAACGAAAGUUAAUAAUUCGAUGAAUGCCAUCAACUAAACUUUGCACAAUACAUGUUUAAACAGCACUGUUUUCAUUCUACAGUAUUCAUUUCUCUUCAGGGAAUUCUAACUUUAAUAGAGAGAGAGAGAUGGAGACGAGAAGGGACGACUGCUUAGCAAAUGUUACUAUGGUAACGAAUCAGUGAUAGAAACAUCACUACCACCUACAGGAUAAGCGAGAUUUCCAUUAGAGAAUCAAGCAAAAUGCUUGAUAGACAACCUACCAUAAUCCUUGACGACUUUCAUUCUGAACAAGGAUUACACUUUAAUGGACAUCAAAAGGCAAUGUUUGUUAUUCUUGGAUUUAUCUAUUUGGAAUGUCUUUCUGUCUGCUACUUUUAAUGGUCUUUCCGUGAGAAUUUCUUCCUAUAUUUUUUUCUUUUUUGUUUUUCUCUGUCCAUCCAAUGCCGACUCCUCACAGAAUCUCAAUCCCCAUCAUCAAAAGUCAGAAAUGGUUGGAAGUCAGAAAUGUCCGAAAUUUAUGGAUUGUCCAUUACAAAUAUUUAUUAUUACUCUCCACUUUAUUGUAACAAACUUAACAAACACAAAA